GGAGGGUGCAAGCGUUACUCGGAAUCACUGGGCGUAAAGAGCGUGUAGGCGGGUUGAUAAGUUUGAAGUGAAAUCCUAUAGCUUAACUAUAGAACUGCUUUGAAAACUGUUAACCUAGAAUAUGGGAGAGGUAGAUGGAAUUUCUGGUGUAGGGGUAAAAUCCGUAGAGAUCAGAAGGAAUACCGAUUGCGAAGGCGAUCUACUGGAACAUUAUUGACGCUGAGACGCGAAAGCGUGGGUAGCAAAC
This 247-nucleotide ribosomal RNA is filed under the name uncultured Arcobacter sp. Its description in RNAcentral is "partial 16S ribosomal RNA". It matches the Rfam family "Bacterial small subunit ribosomal RNA", at positions 527 to 773 of the family's 1533-position model. The record is from RNAcentral. Lineage: Bacteria; Pseudomonadati; Campylobacterota; Epsilonproteobacteria; Campylobacterales; Arcobacteraceae.